This 468-nucleotide ribosomal RNA is filed under the name uncultured bacterium. Its description in RNAcentral is "partial 16S ribosomal RNA". It matches the Rfam family "Bacterial small subunit ribosomal RNA", at positions 28 to 507 of the family's 1533-position model. The record is from RNAcentral.
GACGAACGCUGGCGGCGUGCUUAACACAUGCAAGUCGAACGGAAAGGCCCUGCUUUUGUGGGGUGCUCGAGUGGCGAACGGGUGAGUAACACGUGAGUAACCUGCCCUUGACUUUGGGAUAACUUCAGGAAACUGGGGCUAAUACCGGAUAGGAGCUCCUGCUGCAUGGUGGGGGUUGGAAAGUUUCGGCGGUUGGGGAUGGACUCGCGGCUUAUCAGCUUGUUGGUGGGGUAGUGGCUUACCAAGGCUUUGACGGGUAGCCGGCCUGAGAGGGUGACCGGCCACAUUGGGACGGAGAUACGGCCCGGACUCCUACGGGAGGCAGCAGUGGGGAAUAUUGCACAAUGGGCGGAAGCCUGAUGCAGCAACGCCGCGUGCGGGAUGACGGCCUUCGGGUUGUAAACCGCUUUCGCCUGUGACGAAGCGUGAGUGACGGUAAUGGGUAAAGAAGCACCGGCUAACUACGUG